This 778-nucleotide ribosomal RNA is filed under the name Kingella kingae. Its description in RNAcentral is "bacterial SSU rRNA". It matches the Rfam family "Bacterial small subunit ribosomal RNA", at positions 754 to 1533 of the family's 1533-position model. The record is from RNAcentral. Lineage: Bacteria; Pseudomonadati; Pseudomonadota; Betaproteobacteria; Neisseriales; Neisseriaceae.
CGAAAGCGUGGGUAGCAAACAGGAUUAGAUACCCUGGUAGUCCACGCCCUAAACGAUGUCAAUUAGCUGUUGGGCAACUUGAUUGCUUAGUAGCGUAGCUAACGCGUGAAAUUGACCGCCUGGGGAGUACGGUCGCAAGAUUAAAACUCAAAGGAAUUGACGGGGACCCGCACAAGCGGUGGAUGAUGUGGAUUAAUUCGAUGCAACGCGAAGAACCUUACCUGGUCUUGACAUGUACGGAAGAGAGUAGAGAUACUCUUGUGCCUUCGGGAGCCGUAGCACAGGUGCUGCAUGGCUGUCGUCAGCUCGUGUCGUGAGAUGUUGGGUUAAGUCCCGCAACGAGCGCAACCCUUGUCAUUAGUUGCCAUCAUUAAGUUGGGCACUCUAAUGAGACUGCCGGUGACAAACCGGAGGAAGGUGGGGAUGACGUCAAGUCCUCAUGGCCCUUAUGACCAGGGCUUCACACGUCAUACAAUGGUCGGUACAGAGGGUAGCCAAGCCGCGAGGUGGAGCCAAUCCCAGAAAACCGAUCGUAGUCCGGAUUGCACUCUGCAACUCGAGUGCAUGAAGUCGGAAUCGCUAGUAAUCGCAGGUCAGCAUACUGCGGUGAAUACGUUCCCGGGUCUUGUACACACCGCCCGUCACACCAUGGGAGUGGGGGAUACCAGAAGUAGAUAGGGUAACCGCAAGGAGCCCGUUUACCACGGUAUGUUUCAUGACUGGGGUGAAGUCGUAACAAGGUAGCCGUAGGGGAACCUGCGGCUGGAUCACCUCCUUU